This 74-nucleotide transfer RNA is filed under the name Cellulomonas hominis. RNAcentral's name for it is "tRNA-Thr". Lineage: Bacteria; Bacillati; Actinomycetota; Actinomycetes; Micrococcales; Cellulomonadaceae. The record is from RNAcentral.
GCCCGCCUAGCUCAUCUGGCCAGAGCGCCCGGCCUGUACCCGGGAGGCGACCGGUUCGAGACCGGUGGCGGGCU